CUAGACACACCCAAAAGCAUUCUUGCAUAGUUUAUACAUAGAGAUGGCCGAUUGAUGAUCGUCUUAUUUGUAGACUUAACGCGAGCAGACUCGAUCGCUUAGUCCUUAUUGAUUUACGACACACAUGCUCACACACACACAUACACACAUCACAAAAUCACACAAAUUGACGGAUAAUGUUGCCGUUCAGCUCCUUCCUGAACCUCACCGCGGCAUUUUUCUGCACCAUAGUGGCCGUGAAAUACCACGAGACGAUGUCAUGGACGGCGACGUGUUGUCCGGUGGCGGCGGAUAGCCCGACCUGAACCUGCUGAGGAACAAAGUCGCUCAAAUCGUACUCAUAGUUGACAUCAAAUGUCUGCGAGCCGGCGGUGACUUUCACGGAGAUCAUCCUUGUGGCUCCGACGUAGUUGAUCCGCGCAGUCACCUGCUGCCCGAGUAUGGAGUUGUCGACCUUCGUCGUGUUGCUGGAUGCCCUAGAGCCGAAGUCGAUGCCGAUGUGGGGAUAGAGCGGAUCCCACGCGCCGUUGACGUAGGUGUCGAUUUCGACGGCGAAGACCGAGGGGCUGUUGCCGUUGGAGCCAAAGAUUCCGAGGUUGGCUCCGUUGGAGCCAGGGGGGAUGGUGGAACCGACGGGGGCAAUGAAGAAGGCGAGGCCGUCGGCAGGCUCGUUGUCGGCGCCCGGGGUGAUGAUGAAGUUCACAGUGGUUUCGAAGUCGACCUGCCCACCGGACUGCGAGAAUUGGACCGGGUUCGAGUGCAAGACGCGGCCGACUUGUGAGGGCUGUGCGUCUGUGAGGCGGAGGAAGGUGGAGUCCGUCGGGAAAUGGGCGCUGCCUUGAUAGAUGAGAUCUUUCGGCUGGUCGCCCCAGAAGUCGUAGGUGAAGGACGUCGUUUGGGACAACGCCGUGUUGGAAACGGCGAGGAGGAGGGCGAUGGAGGCGAGGAGAGGAGUUAAGGUUUGAACAAGCUGGUUGGCCAUGGCUUAAUUGAUUUAGAUUUAGAUUUAGAGAUGUGGUGGAUGAUGGUGGCCAGGUAUCGAUCUCUUGCACCUAUUUAUACUAGUAUGGUUCAUGCCUGUUAAUAAUUGUAUAUAUCAAUCAAUCAUCGUGCAUCUAUCCCAAAUUAUAUGUCUUAUUAUUCACUAAUUAGAUGGAAUAAAUCCUAAUUAGCAAUCUUAAAAUUACACCGCCAAUGAGGCCUUGCUCUAGUGGUAAAGCUGUGGCACCGAAUAACUUUUCUUUGUGAAAGGUCUUGGGUUCAAUCUCGCCUGCAUGCGGUGAUGUUUGUCCAUUUUAGAUGGUGUGGUAUUCUUGCCUGCGUGCGGUGUUGUAUUAUUUAGUCUUAGGCGUUCUUGCCUGUGUGCAUAUCACUGUGUGACAAUUAAAAGAAUGACUUUAAAAUAAAAGUUAAGCCUUAAAAAUUUAAUCUACAUUCAUAUAUAACUGAAAUUACAUGCAUGUCUAAUUUUUUUAAUAUCAUAACAAGAUAAGAUUUAUUAAAUAAUUCAGAUGCAUAAAUAAAAAGUUAAUCUAUAAACACAGUAUAGAUAUAUUAUCAAUGAUAGGCCGUGUAUAAGUCUUAAUCUGUAAAACUAUAUCAUCCCAGCCUUAAACGACUACCAUUCCUGCUUUCCCAGAGCAACCACACUGUUCCCACCCACAAAGCUUUAAGCAGUACAUGCAUGUCUAAAUAUUAUUUAUAAUUAUCAAUAACAAGAUUAAUGAUUCUAUAUCUCUAUGUUUAUACAUAUAUUCACGUAUGACAUAGUAUAUAUUAGCUAUUAAGUUAAAAACUAAUAAAAUACUACAGUUUUGCAUAGGAUAUAUAUUUAAUUAGUAGUAGGAUAGGACACGUGUAUUAAUUUUAAGGGCAAGUAAUCAAACUUUUGAAUGAUUCAUCAUGCUUAAAAAAAAAAAGAGACCUAGAUAGAUGAUUCAUCAGAUUCAAAAACAAGUAUAAAUAGACUUCGAGUUUGAAAUUUUAAUUAAUUUGCAACAACAAUUCAAACUGACUGUAUUAAGGUAAGUAGUUACAGAUUUCAUACACAUUAUAUGAUUUCGCGCACAUACGUAUGUAUAUAUAAAUAUUUUUUAAAAUCAUAUACUCCCUCCGUCCCCAAAAUAAGUUCCUCUUUGGGGACGGCACGGAUUUUAAGGAAAAGUGGUAAAGUGUAUUAAUAGUGGAGAAAAAUAUGUUAUAAUUAGUAUUGGAAGUUGUGAAAAGGUGAAAAAGUGUUAUAAUUAGUAUUGGGAGUGGUGAAAAAGUGAAAAGUAAGAAUAAAUAAAGUAUUAUUAGUGGUGGGGUAGUUGUCCAAAAAUGGAAAAAAAGAAAGAGGAACUUAUUUGGGGGACAUCCCAAAAUGGAAAAAGAGGAACUUAUUUCAGGGACGGAGGGAGUAUUAUAUAAUAAUUAUAUUUAAGUUUUAUAUUAUUCUUUAUAAACUAUUGUUCCAUUCUAUAUAAUUAGGUGUGGCACGACUAGGACGUAACUUUCGAUUGAAUUUCUCAAGUUAAUUUUCAAGUUCAAGUUUCAGGUGUGAGAUUUAUUUAAAUACAUGUCAUGAUUAUUCAUUGUCCAUUUUAAUAGUAUGUGUUUACCAUAUGUGUUAUGACGCAUAUUUUGAGGACAUCGCUAGGAGCCCAUAAAUAGGGUCCAGGACUUCACCGUCCUUGGAUUGCCACAAUGCGAUUUGAGGUUUAUUUUGAGGAUGUCGUCAGGGGCCCGUAAAUAGGGUCCAGGACUUUAAUAGUCAUUGGGUUGCCACAGUGCGAAUAUUGAAGAUAUAUAUGAAGUGACCGUAUGUGUUACCGUUUCAUUAACGUGGACAAUGAUUGCAUGUUUAAGAGACAAUAACCAAUUUUUCAGACAUUUGUGAACAAAAUGAAGCAUGUUUAGAGAUCCUUAAUAAAGGUGUACGAAAUGAUGGAUAAAUAAGUUUGUGAAACAAAUUUCACCAUACCUAACCCCACAAUUAUUUGCGGUCGAAUUUCCUCGUCACAGGAAAAAGAGAUGAUGACAAAAGGGCAAAAAUUAAUUAACAAAGUAGAAGAUGCAUGACAACUGUAAAAGAAAAAUAAUGCUACUAAUUAAAUAGUCCAAACUUCAUACGUUUCAUAUCAUAAGUGGCAGUUCUAUUUUUUUUUUGCGAAAGUGAACAAAAUAACGAAUAAUUUUUAAAGUAAUAGUAAUAAGGAGAUGUGUUUUGACAGAAAACGACAUGAGCGGCCUAAAAAUAAGAGGGAAAAAGAUAAUCAUAUAAAUAUGGGUUAAUUGCCUCUAAAUACACCACCUUUCCUUGAAUUCUACAAUUGCACAUCACCUUUAAAAUCCGCCCUUAAAUACACCACCUUUCCUUGAGUUCUACAAUUGCACAUCACCUUUAAAUCCGCCCCAAAAUACAUCAUCUUUAUAUUUUUUCUGUUUUUGCACAUGACUAAAAAAUUCUCAAGAAAUAAAUUAAAGUGUUAAUUUAUAAAUUUAAAUAUCUUUUUAGCAGCGAAAACAUAAUAAAAUAAAAUUCUUUAUAAAGUUUAAAAUCAUAUAUAUAUAUAUAUAUAUAUAAGUAUUUUCGUAAAGAAAUAAAUUCUCUAAUAAAUUUUUAGAAAGAACUUGAAUUAAAAAAAUAAACAAGUCAUGACAUUAAGAAAAUAAAAUGAAAUUUUUAUUUUAAUAAAUUUCACACGAAUUCGAUAUAAUUUGGAAUUUAGAGUUACAAUAAUCAGAAGUACCACAUGAAUAAUAUAAUGAGUUUGAAAGAAAUUUUUUUUAAAGAGGUUCGACACGCCCAUUCGACUUUCCACGCGCCUCCAAUGUCAUUUACCUGAAAUAUUAANUAUAUAAGUAUUUUUCGUAAAGAAAUAAAUUCUCUAAUAAAUUUUUAGAAAGAACUUGAUUAAAAAAUAAACAAGACAUGACAUUAAGAAAAUAAAAUGAAACUUUUAUUUUAAUAAAUUUCACACGAAUUCGAUAUAAUUUGGAAUUUAGAGUUACAAUAAUAAAAAGAACCACAUAAAUAAUAUAAUCAGUUUGAAAGAAAUAUAUAUAUAUUUUUUUAAAGAGGUUCGACGCGCCCAUUCGACUCUCCACGCGCUACCAAUGUCAUUACCUGAAAUACUAAAUAUGGGAUAAGCAUACAUAAUAUACUUAGUGUGGGAACAUGCAAUUAUUGUCCACGUUAAUAAAAUAGUAACACAUACGAUCAUAACAUUCAAAACGACACAAUUUUGCCAAUAUGGAAGCCACGUCAUUUAAAGUGGUAACACCCUAAUCUAACUAAAGUGUUAAAUAUAAAUUUAAAGCGGAAAUAUAAUAAAAUAAAGUUCUUUAUAAAAAUAAAUAAAGAAUUUUAUUUUAUUAUAUUUCCGCUGCUAAAAAAGAUAUUUAAAAUUUAUAAAUUAACACUUUAAUUUAUUUCUUGAGGAUUUUUAAGUCAUGUGCAAAAACAGAAAAAAAAUAUAAAGGUGAUGUAUUUUGGGGCGGAUUUAGAAUUCAAGGAAAUGUGGUGUAUUUAGGGGCGGAUUUUAAAGGUGAUGUGCAAUUGUAGAAUUCAAGGAAAGGUGGUGUAUUUAGGGGAAAUUAACCCUAUAAAUAUUCAAAAUCAAACGGAUUGGCAUGUAUUCAUCAUUUUUUAUUUUUUAUUUUGAUAAUUUAACAGUAUUAAAUAAAGAAAUUUAUAGGCUGCGUCCCUUACUGCUUGGCUUUUAGAUUAUGUUGUAAUAAUAAAAUUAAAAGCACGUUUACAAUAUAAAAUUAAUUAUGAUAAAUACAAUAUAUUAAUAAUAAAUACUCAAUUACCUCUUAACAUAAUUCGCGCAUCAUGGCUUUUAGCUUAUAUUAUAAAGAUAUAAUAUGUUGUCUAUAAUAAUCGACGGAAGGUAAUAGACAACAUGUUUUACUUCUUGUCUAUAAUAAUAUAGACAGUAGAUCUAGUGUUAUAGAUAACAAUUAAUACGUGUUGUCUAUAUGAUGAUAGACACCAAAAAUCUCUGUUGUCUAUUCUAUGACAAAAAAAUUUAAAAAAAUUCUAAUAUAUUUACAUCCCUGUAUUACAAUACCAAUAUAUAUGAAAAAAUAAAAAUAAUUAAAAAUCAAAUAAUCAAACAAUACUUAUAAACCACUAAUACUCACAAUCAAAUAUUUACACAUCAACAAUUGUAUUAUCUUUAAUUACGCCUUCAUUUAUCUACUAAAAAAAAUCUCUAAUAAAAUCUCUAACUAACUCCGGUCAUCAUCUCUUGAAGGCUUAGAAAAUGUCCAAAUACAGCGGCACAUGCUCAUUAUUGUGUGAGCGAUGAGAACUUUGCGCUGAACCUAUAAAGUAACUAUACUUAACUGGUAAAGUAAUUGUAUCCCGUGAAUCUAAAGGAAGAAUAAACACGUUGAUAGAGUUUGAAAGAAAAGAAUAAAGAGAAUGAAAAUCCAAAGAAUUUGCUUCUUCCGUUGAACAAUCCCUACACAACGUUGAAAUAUCAAUGAAAACAAUGGCUAUCCUAUACUCCCUCCAUCCAUGAAAGAACUUCCUAGGAGGGAGUGACACGGGUUUUAAGAAAAAAUAUUGUUAAGUGUAUUGAGAGUGGAUAAAAGGUAGUUGAGUGUAUUGGGAGUGGUGAAAAUGUGUUAUAGUUAAUAUUGAGAGUUGUGAAAAGUGAAAAGUAAGAGGAUUAUAAGUGGUGGGGUAUAGUCCAAAAAUAGGUAGGAAGUUCUUUUGUGGACGUCCCAAAAAGGAAAGAUAUGAAGUUCUUUCGUGGACGGAGGGAGUAUUAUUUUGCAGCAGCAACCACGUUUAAAAACUCGAUCCCUCUAUUCUUGAAUUUGUGAAAUUUCCGACUGAUUUAUUAGAUUCACCAUUUAUUUCAGUUUAAUUAGUCUAUAUAUAGAUAUUUCUUAUAUUAUUAAAUUGUUAACCUCAUGGUAGAUUUCAAGAUUUGAAAAUUCAACAAAGAGCUUGAGAAUUAUAGAGAUUGGAAGGGGAAGAUGAAACAUAGUUGGGUGAAAUUAGAAACCAAUUAAAGUCAGGAGAUUGAAGAAAAACAUAACUUAAAAACACAAAAUAAGCAAAUCGUAGAUGCAGUAUCUUGCAAGAAAAAGUUCAUAUUCCCAAGGCUAUGAUGAGCACGAAUUAGGGUGUGUCUGCAUUUUAUCCCUCUAAAUGGAGGAAUAAUAAAAUUUUAUGCCUUUAAAUGUUUGCUUUCUUAUCACACAUUCUAAACAAACACCAUUUUUUCUUCCUUAUUUUCACUUCAAUGAGGGAUAAUAUUAUCCCUCCAAUUUUGGUGUGAUAAUAUUAUCCCUCCUACAAGUGAAAAUAAGGAAGAAAAAAUGGUACUCCCUUCGUCCCAAACGAAAUGUCCUGUUUUCCUUUUUGGGCUGUCCCAAACGAAAUGUCCUGUUUCCUUUUUUGGCAAUACACUCUCUCUCUAUACUUAAUAUUUAAAUAAUUUUCACCAACCCACUUUAUCUACUUUAUACACAUUUCUUAAUCUCCGUGCCGAAAAGAAAUGGGACAUUUCGUUUGGGACGGAGGGAGUAUUUGUGUAGGAUGUGGGAUAAGAAAACAAACAUUUAAAGACAUAAAUUUUUGUUAUUCCUCCAUUUAGAGGGAUAAAAAGCAAACACACCUUAGAGUCUAAUUACAAUUUAGGCGCAGGCUGUGUGAGAAUUACUUAGUCGAAUAGGAUCCUUAGUAUUUAUAUUUCUCAUGUUCUUGUGUAUUUUUUCACUGAUUCACUAUUGGAUUAACAAGAAUUAUCUUACUUUAAAAAAAAAAAAGAAAUGAUCUUACUUCAUGUAUGGUAUGCCAACUGUUCGAUAAAGGUCCUUUUAGAAAUAUUCCAUAGAUUACCUUGCAAAGACCACAAAACUAGACACACCCUGCAUAGUUUAUACAUAGGGAUGGCCGAUUGAUGAUCGUCUUAUUUGUAGACUUAACGAGAGCAGACUCGAUCGCUUAGUCCUUACUGAUUUACGACACACAUGCACACAUACACAGAUACACACAUCACAAAAUCACGCAAAUUGACGGAUAAUGUUGCCGGCCAGCUCCUUCCUGCUCCACGCCACGGCAUUUUUCUGCACCAUGGUGGCCGUGAAAUACCACGAGACGAUGUCAUGGGUGGCGACGUGUUGUCCGGUGGCGGCGGAUAGCCCGACCUGAACCUCCUGAGCAACAAAGUAGCUCAAAUCGUACUCAUAGCUGACAUCAAACGUCUGAUUGCCGGCGGUGACUUUGACGGAGAUCAUCCUUGUGGCUCCGACGUAGUUGAUCCGCGCAGUUACCUGCUGCUUGAGUAUGGAGCUGUCGACCGGCGUCGUCUUGCUGGAUACCCUAGAGCCGAAGUCGAUGCCGAUGUGGGGAUAGAGCGGAUCCCACGCGCCGUUGACGUAGGUGUCGAUUUCAACGGCGAAGACCCCGGGGCUGUUGCCGUUGGAGCCAAAGAUUCCGAGAUUGGCUCCGUCGGAGCCAGGGGGGAUGGUGGAGUCGACGGGGGCAAUGAAGAAGGCGAGGCCGUCGGCAGGCUCGUUGUCGGCGCCGGGGGUGAUGAUGAAGUUCACGGUGGUUUCGAAGUCGACCUGCCCAUUGGACAUCCAGAAUUGGACCGGUUCCGAGUACAUGACGCGGCCGACUUGGGACGGUUGUGCGUCUGUGAGGCGGAGGAAGGUGGAGUCCGUCGGGAAAUGGGCGUUGCCUUGAUAGAUGAGAUCUUUCGGCUGGUCGCCCCAGAAGUCGAAGGUGAACGACGUCGUUUGGGACAACGCCGUGUUGGAAACGGCGAGGAGGAGGGCGAUGGAGGCGAGGAGAGGAGUUAAGUUGGCCAUGGCUUAAUAGAUUUAGAUUUAGAGAUGUGGUGGAUGAUGGUGGUAUCGAUCUGUUGCACCUAUUUAUACUAGUAUGGUUCAUGCCUGAUAAUAAUUGUAUCAAUCAAUCAUCGUGCAUCUAUCCCAAAUUAUAUGUCUUAUUAUUCACUAAUUAGAUGGAAUAAAUCCUAAUUUGCAAUCUUAAAAUUAAACCGCCAAUGAGGCCUUGCUCUAGUAGCAAAGCUGUGGCACCCAAUAACUUUUCUUUGUGAAAGGUCUUGGGUUCAAUCUCGCCUGCAUGCGGUGAUGUUUGCCCACUUUAGGUGGUGUGGUAUUCUCGCCUGCGUGCGGUGUUAUAUUGUUUAGUGUUAAGGUCCCACAUGCAGGGCGUUCUUGCAUGUGUGCGUGUCACAACCCAAAACCAUUUAUUUUCUUUACAAAUUUUAUAUGAAAAUUAUUUGAUUUUUAAGUUAUAGAGUUUUCGAUAUAUAUACAUAUAGUGUCAAUUUUAUGUUAACUUAGUCGUGUCCCUAAUUAAAAGAAUGAAUUUGAAAUAAAAGUUAAGCCUUAAAAAUUUAAUCUACAUUCAUAUAUAACUGAAAUUACAUGCAUGUCUAAAUAUUAUUUAUAAUUAUCAAUAACGGGAUUAAUGAUUCUAUAUCUCUAUGUUUAUACAUAUAUUCACGUAUGACAUAGUAUAUAUUAGCUAUUAAGUUAAAUAAAAUACUACAGUUUUGCAUAGGAUAUAUAUUUAAUUAGUAGUAGGAUAGGACACGUGUAUUAAUUUUAAGGGCAAGUAAUCAAACUUUUGAAUGAUUCAUCAUGCUUAAAAAAAAGAGACCUAGAUAGAUGAUUCAUCAGAUUCAAAAACAAGUAUAAAUAGACUUCGAGUUUGAAAUUUUAAUUAAUUUGCAACAACCAUUCAAACUGACUGUAUUAAGGUAAGUAGUUACAGAUUUCAUACACAUUAUAUGAUUUCGCGCACAUACGUAUGUAUAUAUAAAUAUUUUUUAAAAUCAUAUAUUAUAUAAUAAUUAUAUUUAAGUUUUAUAUUAUUCUUUAUAAACUAUUGUUCCAUUCUAUAUAAUUAGGUGUGGCAUGACUAGGACGUAACUUUCGAUUGAAUUUCUCAAGUUAAUCUUCAAGUUCAAGUUUCAGGUGUGGGAUUUAUUUAAAUACAUGUCGUGGUUAUUUAUUAUCCAUUUUAAUAAUAUGUGUUUACCAUAUGUGUUAUGAUGCAUAUUUUGAGGAUAUCGCUAGGGGCCCAUAAAUAGGGUCCAGGACUUCACCGUCCUUGGAUUGCCACAAUGCAAUUUGAGGUUUAUUUUGAGGAUGUCGUCAGGGAUCCGUAAAUAGGGUCCAGGACUUUAAUAGUCCUUGGGUUGCCACAGUGCGAAUAUAUUGAGGAUAUAUAUGAAGUGACCGUAUGUGUUACCGUUUCAUUAACGUGGACAAUGAUUGCUUGUUCUCACACUGAGUGUACUCUGUAUGCUCAUCCCAUAUUUAACGUGGAAGGUCGAUUGACGAAUCAAAUAUUUUGUAUUUAGCUUUACCUAAAUAUGUUAUUUUGAGUAAAGUAUUUUAAAUAAAAAUUUAUUUCAUAAUUUUCUCAUUAAAUAUUUAUUUAUAUUCAUAGCUUUUCCGCACAAAUAUUUAUUUAAAUUUUAAUUAGAUUUGGGUGUCACUGUGCGGUGAUGUUUUUCCACCGUUUCGGUGGUGGUGAGGCCCCACCUGCGUGCACGUUAUAUACUUGAUUAUAUUCAGAUACCUCUUGUAAUUUUUAAAAAAAUAAUCAUAAAAUUAAACCAAAGCAUAUAAAAUUGAAAUUGGCCAAAAAAAUAUAUAAAAAUAAAUAAAAUUAAAAAUGGGAUAUAAAGUGAGACAUUAAAUGUGGUACACUACUGAAUCUCAAUCCAACACGUGGAUGCUACAUUGUACUUGUCGGAAUAUUAGAACUUCUACAAAAUAUUGCUAUUGGAAACGUGAAAUUUUAUUAUGAGAAAACUUAUACCUGACCCCACAGUCGUGGGCACGUGUUAUGUUGCGCGGAAAUUAAAGUGGUGGGGACCGUAAAUGGUAUUUUAGUCUUUUAAUUUAUUUUAGUAUACAAAAGAGUUAAUUUUAAAGAGGCGCUAAAAAACACAUCACUUUUAAAAAUUGGUAUUUAAAAUCUUGAACCCCUUUUAUUAUUUUAGAAAGAUAUUAAUUAAUUGAUAAAUUAAUAAAUUAUUAAUUGAAACAAUUAUUUUAAGCAAAUUUAAUUAUAAUUACCUAAAAAUUUAAAAAACAUAAAUUCAAUACCAUUCAAAUUCAACAAACUAACUUAAAUUUUUACUUUAAAAAAUCUUCAUCAAUCUUGCAAUCUCGGCUUGGACUAUAAAUGUUCAACAAGAGACAAUAACCAAUUUUUCAGACAUUUGUGAACAAAAUGAAGCAUGUUUAGAGAUCCUUAAUAAAGGUGUACGAAAUGAUGGAUAAAUAAGUUUGUGAAAAUUUCACCAUACCUAACCCCACAAUUAUUUGCGAUCGAAUAUCCUCGUCACAGGAAAAAGAGAUGAUGACAAAAGGGAAAAAAAAAUUAACAAAGUAGAAGAUGCAUGACAACUGUCAAGAUAAAUAAUGUUACUAAUUAAAUAAUCCAAACUUUAUACGUUUCAUAUCAUAAGUGGCAGUUCUAUAUUUUUUGCGAAAGUGAACAAAAUAACGAAUAAUUUUUAAAGUAAUAGUAAAAGGAGAUGUGUUUUGACAGAAAACGACAUGAGCGGCCUAAAAAUAAGAGGGAAAAAGAUAAUCAUAUAAAUAUUCAAAAUCAAACGGAUUGGCAUGUAUUCAUCAUUUUUUAUUUUAAUAAUUUAACAGUAUUAAAUCAAGAAAUUUAAAGACCGCGCCCCUUACUGCUUGGCUUUAAGAUUAUGUUACAAUAAUAAAAUUAACAGCACGUUUACAAUAUAAAAUUAAUUAUGAUAAAUGCAAUAUAUUAAUAAUAAAUACUCAAUUACCUCUUAACAUAAUUCGCGCAUCAUGGCUUUUAGCUUAUGUUAUAAAGAUGGAGUAUAAAAUAAUCAUCACCUGUGCAUGAUAUUUCACAAAAUAAUUAAAUAAUAAAAUAAUCAAUCAUAAUGCCAAGACGUGACUCUUGUCGGUCAUAUCUCAUCAACUUUAUCUAUAUAGUACAAUGAUGAUUAAUUUGAGAACGACGAUUAAGACACCAACUAUUCUUGUGGGGACACAUGCAUAUAUAGAAUUAAUAUUAUAAACUCUCUCGGUCCACGAAAUAACUUACUAUUUUUUCUUUUAAGAACGUGAACAAAAAAAAUUCCCAUCGAUAUUUCGGAACUAUACCCCACUACUUUAAAAUACCUCAUUUUACCCUUUCUUUUUCACAAAAACAACAAAUUACUAAUAAUUUUUCACUAUUCCUAAUAUACUGAACAAUUUUUCUCCACUCUCAAAUUUUGUAGCACCGAAUAAAAUUAAAUACUAGUAUUAUUUUUUGUAGAACUAUAAAUAAAUAUUAUUCUCAAAACAUGUACUAUUACUUACUAUUUUUUUUAAAUGUGGGACGACCAAAAAAGGAAAGAUGAAUUCUAAAAGCUGGGACAGAGGAUAUAUUAUUUUUCUUCUUGGUUCUGAAGUAUGAAUAUUAAUUAACAAUUCUUCGUCCACAUCAAGCUCACCUUCACGUAAUUUUUUCUUGAACAACACCGAAAAAUAUAUAAUCCCAACAUAGCAUGAUCAAUCUCAAUGCACCAAACAUAAAUUAGUUUUAAAAUAAUAAUAAGAUUAACUACUAUAUUGCUGAAUUAUGCAGUAGAAUUAAAAGCGUGAUUUUUUUUUAAUAGAGCAGGUUAAUCUAGGCCUACCUGAACCAUCUGACUAUGCAUGAGUUUGAUUUUUCUUCUUGAUCUUUUUUAAUUUUACCGACAAAGAAGAUUUUCACAAAUGAAAAGAAAACGUUCUAGUAACAUACUACAUGCUUACUUCAGAUUUGCAACCAAGUCUAUUGAGGGUUUUAUUUGCUACAUAUAUAAACACAAGGAUUUGGUUUGAUACAAAUUAAGAAUAUUCAACUUUCAUCGGCUCAAGCACAUAGAAUCUCCCCGAGUAGUUAUAACUGGUCAAUGUUUUUGCCGAUAAAAAGGAAAAGGAAAGAAAAAAGAAAGAAGCAAGACGGAGAAAAAGUUGUAGUAAAUGAUUAUGCGAUGAAAAGAAAAUGGAAAAGAGAAAGAAAGAAGAAAGUUGUAGGAAUUUUGAAGAAUUUGUACUUAUUUAGAAUUGUGGUUAUUGUGGGAUCUUGUAUAAUAAUAAUAAUAAUAAUAAUAAUAAUAAUAAUAAUUAUUGGGCCGUUCCACGAAUCUUGGCACAUUUUCAAAUAAGGUAAUAAUUCAUUCUCUCUCUUACUUUAUCACUUUAAUACUUUAUUAACUACAAACUUAAAACACUAAUAUACAAUUCCUUAAUUCCCGUGUCGAAACCAAACGUGUCAAGAUUCGUUGGAUGGAGGGAGUAAUAAUAAUAAUAAUAAUAAUAGUAAUAAUAAUAAUAAUAAUAAUAAUAAUACAUCAUUGCCCUUUAAAAAGUUUUAAAAUAGGAACAUAAUAUGUAAAUCUAAUUUUGUAAAAGAAGCUCUUCUAUAGUAAUAGUUAUAGAUUUGGUGUGGAGGCAUUUGUUUGAGAAUGGGUAAAACAUACCAUUAACCCUUUGAUAUAUGCACGAGACACUUAUUUGUGGAUAGGACAAGAAUUAUUUUGUUGCAUAGGAUCCCUUCCAAAUGUAAUUACUGAUUCACAAUUGGAUUAACAAGAAUUAACUUACUUCAUAUUCAGUAUUCCAACUGUUCGAUAAAAGUUCUUAAUGAAAUCUUCCAUAGAUUACCCAAAUGCAUUGUUUUGCAUAGUCCGUACAUUGAGAUGGUCGAGUAUCUUAUGUCUAGACUUAACGAGAGCAGACUCGAUCGCUUAGUCCUUAUUUAUUUACGACACACACACAUCUCAAAAUCACACAAAUUGACGAAUAAUGUUGCCAGCCAGCUCCUUCCUGUUCCACGCGCCAGCAUUUGUCUUCACCAUGGUGGCUGUGAAAUACCAUGAGAUAAUAUCAUGUUUGGCGACGUAUGGUUGGUUUAGUCCGCUGGCGGCGGAGAGCCCUACCUGAACCUGCUCAGGAAGAAACUCGCCCAAAUUGUACACAUGGCUGACCUCAAACGUCUUCGAGCCGGCGGUGGCACUGACGGUGAUCAUCUUCGUGGCUCCGACGUAGUUGAUCCGCGCAGUCACCUGCUGUCCGACUAUGGCGUCUCCGACAUUCGUCGUGUUGCUGGAUUCCCUAGAUCCGAGGUCGAUGCCGAUGUGGGGAUAGUUCGGAUCCCACGGGCUGUUGAUGAAGGUGUCGAACUCGACGGCGAAGACCGAGGGGCUAUUGCCGUUGGAGCCGAAAAUUCCGAGGUUGGCCCCAACAGCGCCACUGGGGAUGGUGGAGCCGACGGGGGCAAUGAAGAAAGCGAGGCCGUCAGCGGUUUUGCCAUCGGGGCUGGGUGUGAUGAUGAAGUUAAUGGUGGUUUCAAAGUCGACUUGGCCACCGGAUUGGGAGAACUGGACCGGCUUCGAGUACAAGACCCGGCCGACCUGGUAUGUCUCGAAGUCGGUGAGGCGGAGGAAGGUGGAGUCCGAUGGGAAAUGGGCGUGGCCUUGGUAGGUGAGAUCGGUCGGCUGGUCGCCCCAGAAGUCGUAGGUGAAGGACGUUGUUUGGGACCACACCGUGUUGGCAGCGGCGGCAAGGAGAAGGGCGAUGGAGAUUAGGGUUUGUUGAAGGUUGGCCAUCGCUUAAUUGAUUUG
This 13631-nucleotide long non-coding RNA is filed under the name Salvia miltiorrhiza (redroot sage). RNAcentral's name for it is "long non-coding RNA (SMIL_LNC011427)". Lineage: Eukaryota; Viridiplantae; Streptophyta; Magnoliopsida; Lamiales; Lamiaceae. The record is from RNAcentral.